Molecule: transfer RNA, 73 nt
Filed under: Loxodonta africana (African savanna elephant)
Lineage: Eukaryota; Metazoa; Chordata; Mammalia; Proboscidea; Elephantidae
Rfam family: tRNA
About the family: Transfer RNA (tRNA) molecules are approximately 80 nucleotides in length. Their secondary structure includes four short double-helical elements and three loops (D, anti-codon, and T loops).
Source: Rfam by way of RNAcentral
AGUGGGUUAUUUUAGUGGUUAAGAGCUAUGGCUGCUAACCAAAAGGUUGGCAGUUCAAAUCCACCAGCCGCUC